ACGGGUGAGUAACACGUGGGCAACCUGCCUGUAAGACUGGGAUAACUUCGGGAAACCGAAGCUAAUACCGGAUAGGAUCUUCUCCUUCAUGGGAGAUGAUUGAAAGAUGGUUUCGGCUAUCACUUACAGAUGGGCCCGCGGUGCGUUAGCUAGUUGGUGAGGUAACGGCUCACCAAGGCAACGAUGCAUAGCCGACCUGAGAGGGUGAUCGGCCACACUGGGACUGAGACACGGCCCAGACUCCUACGGGAGGCAGCAGUAGGGAAUCUUCCGCAAUGGACGAAAGUCUGACGGAGCAACGCCGCGUGAGUGAUGAAGGCUUUCGGGUCGUAAAACUCUGUUGUUAGGGAAGAACAAGUACGAGAGUAACUGCUCGUACCUUGACGGUACCUAACCAGAAAGCCACGGCUAACUACGUGCCAGCAGCCGCGGUAAUACGUAGGUGGCAAGCGUUAUCCGGAAUUAUUGGGCGUAAAGCGCGCGCAGGCGGUUUCUUAAGUCUGAUGUGAAAGCCCACGGCUCAACCGUGGAGGGUCAUUGGAAACUGGGGAACUUGAGUGCAGAAGAGAAAAGCGGAA
RNAcentral lists this ribosomal RNA (578 nucleotides) under uncultured bacterium. Its description in RNAcentral is "bacterial SSU rRNA". It matches the Rfam family "Bacterial small subunit ribosomal RNA", at positions 102 to 666 of the family's 1533-position model. The record is from RNAcentral.